UACCACCUCUUCCCAUUCCGAACAGAGAAGUUAAAACCGCGCGCGCCGAUGGUACUGCGUCUAAAGCGUGGGAGAGUAGGUCGUCGCCGCCC
This 92-nucleotide ribosomal RNA is filed under the name Candidatus Pullibacteroides excrementavium. Lineage: Bacteria; Pseudomonadati; Bacteroidota; Bacteroidia; Bacteroidales. The record is from RNAcentral.